CUAGAGAAAAGGGGAAUGAACAAG
Molecule: non-coding RNA, 24 nt
Filed under: Cricetulus griseus (Chinese hamster)
Lineage: Eukaryota; Metazoa; Chordata; Mammalia; Rodentia; Cricetidae
Source: RNAcentral